This is a non-coding RNA of Dermacentor albipictus, 1036 nucleotides long. The record is from RefSeq and is a predicted model, not a curated record. NCBI's taxonomy places the organism in Eukaryota, Metazoa, Arthropoda, Arachnida, Ixodida, Ixodidae.
UCUCUUCGUCUGCUCCUGCCGCUUUCUACGCACGUGCACGUUUCUUUUUCGUAUGCUCUGCAGUUAAAUGCUUUCUUUCUGUGCCCGUCAAUGUUCCGGCACUGUCGGUAAAACUGAGGAAACGGCGCAAGGCAUGCUGCGCGGCUGUAUGGUGUGGUGACUCGGGGAUGAACUCCAGGGCGAAUUUUUUCUGUUUGCCAGCGGACGAAAGGUGCAGGGAAGGACAUGGAGAAGUGCUUUCUGGAGCAGUCGCUGCCAAAAUCUGUGACGUCACGGCCUUCUGGUGUGGAAACAUCAAGGCGGCGUCGCCACCUGUCUUACAAUUUUUCAUGUUUUCUGAUUUACCAAGCCUCCUGUCACGUAGCACAUCUAUUGCCGCAAUGGAAUGACUGGAAGCGAGCAAGUUGGUACGGAUGUCCCGUUCAUUCCCUCUCAUGUCUCCUUUUGUCUGCGUUGUGCAGUGCUGCCCAAGUGAGCAGCCGCCAUCUCUGCAAUGAAAGGUGAAGUGUCCUGAAUCUUCAGCUGGGCAGUGAUAGCUUUGCUCUGAAUGAGAGACUAGGACACAGCUCAAAUUCAUUGGCAAUUCGCGUGACUUGUGGAUAGUGCACUCGGAGUAAUCUGAGAGGAGGAACUCGGAACAAGACGUAAGAACUUCAUGACGCUCGACUAUUUUCGUUCAGCGAUGGAUCGGUGCAUGCGAUAUCAACGAGAAAAUUCUUGAUAACUGAUCGUUAAUAAUUGCCGUUACCUUCCGUGGAUUUCCGCACAUGCUCAUACAUUUUCACCGAAGACGAAAGUAUCUAAGACUCUGUGCAUGUCUAUAGCGGUCGCCUCAGUUUCGCGACCGUAGUCUUGCAAAGCCUGCUGCUUCGCUACGAUAAGCAUCUUAACAAGUGCUUAUAUCACACGAAUGUGCUUUAACGCAUGUAGAUAUGAAAAUAAGUCAAAUCUGUUGAGACCAGUGCUAUGCCAUAAUAGAGAGCUUUAGAAGUGAUACACAAAAAUAAGUUGACUGUGGUAACAGCCCUCCUGACUA